GGAAGGCUGUAGCUCAGAGGUAGAGCCUCUGCUUGGCAUGCAGAAGGCUCCCGGUUCAAUCCCUGGCAUCUCCU
RNAcentral lists this transfer RNA (74 nucleotides) under Podarcis lilfordi (Lilford's wall lizard). Its description in RNAcentral is "tRNA.Ala". The stretch from base 8 to 68 matches the Rfam family "tRNA", at positions 6 to 65 of the family's 71-position model. From Rfam's summary of the family: Transfer RNA (tRNA) molecules are approximately 80 nucleotides in length. Their secondary structure includes four short double-helical elements and three loops (D, anti-codon, and T loops). The record is from RNAcentral. Lineage: Eukaryota; Metazoa; Chordata; Lepidosauria; Squamata; Lacertidae.